Molecule: ribosomal RNA, 322 nt
Filed under: uncultured eukaryote
Lineage: Eukaryota
Description: partial 18S ribosomal RNA
Rfam family: Eukaryotic small subunit ribosomal RNA
Source: RNAcentral
CCCUUAGAUGUUCUGGGCCGCGCGCGUGCUACACUGAGUGGAUCAGCGGGUCAGGUUGCGCGAAAGUGUUUCCUAAUCUUUAAAUCCGCUCGUGAUGGGGAUUGACGGUUGCAAUUUUCCGUCAUGAACGAGGAAUACCUUGUAAGCGCGGGUCAUCAUCCCGCGCUGAAUACGUCCCUGCCCUUUGUACACACCGCCCGUCGCUCCUACCGAUUGAGUGGUCCGGUGAGGCUUUGGGAUCUGAGCGGAAAGAGCGUUUCGCUGUUUCUGCCCGGAAAACUCAGUCGAACCUUAUCAUUUAGAGGAAGGAGAAGGCGUAACA